Molecule: ribosomal RNA, 497 nt
Filed under: uncultured bacterium
Lineage: Bacteria
Description: partial 16S ribosomal RNA
Rfam family: Bacterial small subunit ribosomal RNA
Source: RNAcentral
GAUGAACGCUGGCGGCGUGCCUAAUACAUGCAAGUCGAGCGAACAGACGAGGAGCUUGCUCCUCUGACGUUAGCGGCGGACGGGUGAGUAACACGUGGAUAACCUACCUAUAAGACUGGGAUAACUUCGGGAAACCGGAGCUAAUACCGGAUAAUAUAUUGAACCGCAUGGUUCAAUAGUGAAAGACGGUUUUGCUGUCACUUAUAGAUGGAUCCGCGCCGCAUUAGCUAGUUGGUAAGGUAACGGCUUACCAAGGCAACGAUGCGUAGCCGACCUGACAGGGUGAUCGGCCACACUGGAACUGAGACACGGUCCAGACUCCUACGGGAGGCAGCAGUAGGGAAUCUUCCGCAAUGGGCGAAAGCCUGACGGAGCAACGCCGCGUGAGCGAUGAAGGUCUUCGGAUCGUAAAACUCUGUUAUUAUGGAAGAACAAAUGUGUAAAUAACUAUGCACGUCUUGACGGUACCUAAUCAGAAAGCCACGGCUAACUACGUG